GGAAACGUUAUUGGACGAAUGUUUCCUACGGCAGCUCGAUGGGGAAACGUGAUUGGGCGAGUGUUUCUUAUGGCACCUCGAUGAGGAAACGUGAUUGGGCGAGUGUUUCUCACGGCACCUCGAUGGGGAAACAUGAUUGGGCGAGUGUUUCUUACGGCAGCUCGAUGGGGAAACGUGAUUGGGUGAGUGUUUCUUAUGGCAGCUCGAUGGGGAAACGUGAUUGGGCGAGUGUUUCUUAUGGCACCUCAAUGGGGAAACGUGAUUGGGCGAGUGUUUCUUACGGCACCUUGAUGGGGAAACAUGAUUGGG
This 309-nucleotide long non-coding RNA is filed under the name Homo sapiens (human). RNAcentral describes it as "non-protein coding lnc-SCGB1C2-7:1". Lineage: Eukaryota; Metazoa; Chordata; Mammalia; Primates; Hominidae. The record is from RNAcentral.